Molecule: transfer RNA, 86 nt
Filed under: Nematostella vectensis (starlet sea anemone)
Lineage: Eukaryota; Metazoa; Cnidaria; Anthozoa; Actiniaria; Edwardsiidae
Rfam family: tRNA
About the family: Transfer RNA (tRNA) molecules are approximately 80 nucleotides in length. Their secondary structure includes four short double-helical elements and three loops (D, anti-codon, and T loops). Further hydrogen bonds mediate the characteristic L-shaped molecular structure. tRNAs have two regions of fundamental functional importance: the anti-codon, which is responsible for specific mRNA codon recognition, and the 3' end, to which the tRNAs corresponding amino acid is attached (by aminoacyl-tRNA synthetases). tRNAs cope with the degeneracy of the genetic code in two manners: having more than one tRNA (with a specific anti-codon) for a particular amino acid; and 'wobble' base-pairing, i.e. permitting non-standard base-pairing at the 3rd anti-codon position.
Source: Rfam by way of RNAcentral
CCUUCGAUAGCUCAGUUGGUAGAGCGGGGGACUGUAGAUUUAUAAUUGUGAUCCCUAGGUGGCUGGUUCGAAUCCGGCUCGAAGUA